GAUGAACGCUGGCGGCGUGCCUAAUACAUGCAAGUCGAGCGAACAGAUAAGGAGCUUGCUCCUUUGACGUUAGCGGCGGACGGGUGAGUAACACGUGGGUAACCUACCUAUAAGACUGGGAUAACUUCGGGAAACCGGAGCUAAUACCGGAUAACAUUUGGAACCGCAUGGUUCUAAAGUGAAAGAUGGUUUUGCUAUCACUUAUAGAUGGACCCGCGCCGUAUUAGCUAGUUGGUAAGGUAACGGCUUACCAAGGCGACGAUACGUAGCCGACCUGAGAGGGUGAUCGGACACACUGGAACUGAGACACGGUCCAGACUCCUACGGGAGGCAGCAGUAGGGAAUCUUCCGCAAUGGGCGAAAGCCUGACGGAGCAAAGCCGCGUGAGUGAUGAAGGGUUUCGGCUCGUAAAACGCUGUUAUUAGGGAAGAACAAACGUGUAAGUAACUGUGCACGUCUUGACGGUACCUAAUCAGAAAGCCACGGCUAACUACGUG
Molecule: ribosomal RNA, 497 nt
Filed under: uncultured bacterium
Lineage: Bacteria
Description: partial 16S ribosomal RNA
Rfam family: Bacterial small subunit ribosomal RNA
Source: RNAcentral